CAGAGUCAUAUAGUGAUUUAACAUGCCUUGGUCAGUAUUUUCAUAUAAUUUCCUUGCUGAUCCAGAGUAAGUACAGUGACAUGUCUAGAAAGUAGUUGUCAGUAUGCUGAGCUUUGGCAAAGAACAGUUUCCAACGUGGGUGGGGUGAGCCUUUUUUUUUUUUUUUUUUUUUUUAGUGAGAUGUCACGCCUAUCUGAUUAGGACGCUGUGAGUCACUGUGUAUUUGGCAUACUCUCAACUGAAACAUACCUUUGCUUUUCUUUGCUUUGGUUUCUCCCUCACUUAUCAUCAUGGAAAAAGAAAAAAGUCACAAACUAUAAAUUCAGAUACUCUCGAAAGAAACAUUUCUGGAAGCACAUCUAACUUCUCAGAACCUUGUAUUGGUUGGACUGUCUUCAACCUAAAAAUAUCUGUGAUAAAAGACUCUGUUUUUGCAUUGCUGUCUUAUGUUCUUAAAUUAUACCAGAUGUGCAAUCCUACUUGUGCUUGCUCAAGCGAAACAGACUCAACUGCUCCGUGCCUCUCACUCCCCAGUCGGCAUGAAGACUUCCAGCUGCUUUGAUCACUAGAGGAUCAGUGAAUUGUGUGACGAAAAAUGUUGUGCUGUCAAGACCUAGAUGUCACAUCCAAUAAUUACAUCCGAAGAUCCAUAGACUCUCUAACUAUAUGUCCACAGUGACUGAAACAAUAUCUUAAAUCAUAGUCUCAUGAGUAGACAAAUUUGGUAAGGGAUAUUUAUAUACUGGACAAUAUACAUGACUUUUUAGCAAAAAUGUGUUGUGCCACAUUGCUGGGUCAUUGAUGAAUAUUCCAAGAUUCAAAGGUUUUACUCACAUUGGAGGAGUAAUCAUUGGGGGAAGUAGUUUCAG
This is a long non-coding RNA of Herpailurus yagouaroundi (jaguarundi), 869 nucleotides long. RefSeq lists it as uncharacterized. The record is from RefSeq and is a predicted model, not a curated record. The transcript has 3 exons. Lineage: Eukaryota; Metazoa; Chordata; Mammalia; Carnivora; Felidae.